Molecule: long non-coding RNA, 229 nt
Filed under: Elaeis guineensis (African oil palm)
Lineage: Eukaryota; Viridiplantae; Streptophyta; Magnoliopsida; Arecales; Arecaceae
Description: long non-coding RNA (EGUI_LNC021684)
Source: RNAcentral
GCGAGUGAGUAUAUUUUGUUGACUGAUGGGGGAGAACCUGAGUAUUAUGAAGAGGCCAUGGAAAAUGAGCAAAAGGAUGAGUAGGUUAAAGCUAUGCAGAAUGAAAUGAAAUCUCUACAUGAAAAUCAUGCCUUUGAGUUGGUAAAGUUGCCUAAAGGCAAGAAAGCAUUGAAGGACAAGUGGGUGUAUAGGACAAAGUAUGAAGAACAUAGGUAAGAUUUCGGUACAA